UACGGGGGGGGCAAGCGUUGUUCGGAUUUACUGGGCGUAAAGGGCGCGUAGGCGGUCAGCACAAGUCAGUUGUGAAAUCUCCGGGCUUAACUCGGAAAGGUCAACUGAUACUGUGCGACUAGAGUGCGGAAGGGGCAACUGGAAUUCUCGGUGUAGCGGUGAAAUGCGUAGAUAUCGAGAGGAACACCUGUGGCGAAGGCGGGUCUCUGGGCCGAUACUGACGCUGAGGAGCGAAAGCGUGGGGAGCGAACAGG
This 254-nucleotide ribosomal RNA is filed under the name uncultured bacterium. RNAcentral's name for it is "partial 16S ribosomal RNA". It matches the Rfam family "Bacterial small subunit ribosomal RNA", at positions 524 to 776 of the family's 1533-position model. The record is from RNAcentral.